RNAcentral lists this ribosomal RNA (548 nucleotides) under Thermoascus crustaceus. RNAcentral describes it as "eukaryotic LSU rRNA". The stretch from base 188 to 341 matches the Rfam family "5.8S ribosomal RNA". The record is from RNAcentral. Lineage: Eukaryota; Fungi; Ascomycota; Eurotiomycetes; Eurotiales; Thermoascaceae.
GAAGGAUCAUUACCGAGUGCGGGUCCUUCGGGGCCCAACCUCCCACCCGUGUCUACCGUACCGUGUUGCUUUGGCGGGCCCGCCGCAAGGCCGCCGGGGGGGCGUCCCCCCGGCCCGUGCCCGCCGGAGACCCUGUGAACGCUGAUCUGUGAAGGCGUGUCGUCCGAGUCGCGUGAGAAAUCGUGAAAACUUUCAACAACGGAUCUCUUGGUUCCGGCAUCGAUGAAGAACGCAGCGAAAUGCGAUAAGUAAUGUGAAUUGCAGAAUUCCGUGAAUCAUCGAAUCUUUGAACGCACAUUGCGCCCUCUGGUAUUCCGGGGGGCAUGCCUGUCCGAGCGCCAUUGCUGCCCUCAAGCACGGCUUGUGUGUUGGGCCGCCGUCCCCGCCCUCCGCGGGGGGACGGGCCCGAAAGGCAGCGGCGGCGCCGCGUCCGGUCCUCGAGCGUAUGGGGCUCUGUCACCCGCUCUGCAGGCCCGGCCGGCGCCCGCCGAGUCAACCACUUCUUUCCAGGUUGACCUCGGAUCAGGUAGGGAUACCCGCUGAACUUA